GCCAGCAGCCAUAUCAAUAUACAACUCACAACUGGCAACUCACUGGAGCUAAGCAGGUAUGAGCCUGGUCAGUACCUGGAUGGGAGACUCCUGGGAAAAACUAAGGUUGCUGCUGGAA
Molecule: ribosomal RNA, 118 nt
Filed under: Lepisosteus oculatus (spotted gar)
Lineage: Eukaryota; Metazoa; Chordata; Actinopteri; Semionotiformes; Lepisosteidae
Source: RNAcentral